This 470-nucleotide ribosomal RNA is filed under the name Cryptosporidium xiaoi. Its description in RNAcentral is "SSU rRNA". It matches the Rfam family "Eukaryotic small subunit ribosomal RNA", at positions 376 to 884 of the family's 1831-position model. The record is from RNAcentral. Lineage: Eukaryota; Apicomplexa; Conoidasida; Eucoccidiorida; Cryptosporidiidae.
UUCGAUUCCGGAGAGGGAGCCUGAGAAACGGCUACCACAUCUAAGGAAGGCAGCAGGCGCGCAAAUUACCCAAUCCUAAUACAGGGAGGUAGUGACAAGAAAUAACAAUACAGAACCUUACGGUUUUGUAAUUGGAAUGAGUUAAGUAUAAACCCCUUAACAAGUAUCAAUUGGAGGGCAAGUCUGGUGCCAGCAGCCGCGGUAAUUCCAGCUCCAAUAGCGUAUAUUAAAGUUGUUGCAGUUAAAAAGCUCGUAGUUAAUCUUCUGUUAAUUUUUAUAUAUAAUAUUUCGGUAUUUAUAUAAUAUUAACAUAAUUCAUAUUACUUUUUAGUAUAUGAAACUUUACUUUGAGAAAAUUAGAGUGCUUAAAGCAGGCUAUUGCCUUGAAUACUCCAGCAUGGAAUAAUAUUAAGGAUUUUUAUUCUUCUUAUUGGUUCUAGAAUAAAAAUGAUGAUUAAUAGGAACAGUUG